Gossypium hirsutum (cotton) is the source of this 122-nucleotide non-coding RNA. Lineage: Eukaryota; Viridiplantae; Streptophyta; Magnoliopsida; Malvales; Malvaceae. The record is from Rfam.
UGUUAAAAUUUUUAUCCAAAUUUACUCUUAAAAGCUAGCAUGAGUGAUAAAAUAACCAAAUAAUUACAUGUUGAUAUACAUAGACCAAUUUUUAACUAUAGAAAUAGAUGAAAAUUUUAACA